GGCCUUGUAGCUCAGCUGGUGCGUACAAAGCGUAGGCGGUGUCCAUGCGUGGGUUCGAAUCCCACCGAGGCUA
Molecule: transfer RNA, 73 nt
Filed under: Echinostoma caproni
Lineage: Eukaryota; Metazoa; Platyhelminthes; Trematoda; Plagiorchiida; Echinostomatidae
Rfam family: tRNA
About the family: Transfer RNA (tRNA) molecules are approximately 80 nucleotides in length. Their secondary structure includes four short double-helical elements and three loops (D, anti-codon, and T loops). Further hydrogen bonds mediate the characteristic L-shaped molecular structure. tRNAs have two regions of fundamental functional importance: the anti-codon, which is responsible for specific mRNA codon recognition, and the 3' end, to which the tRNAs corresponding amino acid is attached (by aminoacyl-tRNA synthetases). tRNAs cope with the degeneracy of the genetic code in two manners: having more than one tRNA (with a specific anti-codon) for a particular amino acid; and 'wobble' base-pairing, i.e. permitting non-standard base-pairing at the 3rd anti-codon position.
Source: Rfam by way of RNAcentral